This is a non-coding RNA of Kogia breviceps (pygmy sperm whale), 527 nucleotides long. The record is from RefSeq and is a predicted model, not a curated record. Lineage: Eukaryota; Metazoa; Chordata; Mammalia; Artiodactyla; Physeteridae.
GUGACUCAGAGCCCAGCACAGGGAAGUCAUUCUGCGGAGGUCUGAGACUGGCUGUUUGUCUGGUGACGCCACGAUCUUAGAGUCUUUUUCUCUCUGGAUUCUUCCUUCGACUGCAGCUUCCACCCACAAAGGCACAGAACUCACCAUCCUUCACCUCCGCGUGGAGCUUUCAAAUUCACCUUUUAUUUUCUACCAGCAGCAGAAAAAGAAACAUUUGCUUCAAAACGUAUUCUUAGAAUCUUUCUGGAACUCAGGAUACGUGAGAAGGGUAGAAAGGGAAGGAGGCUCUGCUGUAGGUACGUUUUCUGGAAGUCCUGUUUCAGAUCCCCGUCUAGCUGGCCCCGGAACUCACCGUCUUUCCCUGAUGUUUAACUACGGACAACAUCAUUCCUUCAUCCCUUCAGUAAAUGUUAAUGAGCUUCUGGGCCCUGGAUCUACUGGAUGAGGCACAUGUGAUCCCCGCUGACUAGGGGCUGACAGGGACUGGAUCAGGUGUGCCAGGACGAGGCGGUGAUUCUGAAUUCCCA